This 1194-nucleotide long non-coding RNA is filed under the name Androctonus crassicauda. Lineage: Eukaryota; Metazoa; Arthropoda; Arachnida; Scorpiones; Buthidae. The record is from RNAcentral.
GGAUCUUAGCUUUUCAUUAGGAUAUGGUAUCAAAAAAAUAAUAAUAAAUAUGAGAAUUCAUUAAUGAAAGAAUUUCCAAAUAAUUUCUUUGUAAACAAUGCCAAACAGUCAUCAUCAUUUACAAAGAAAUUGUCAAUGAAAGACAAAGAAGCUCUGGUGCUUUACCAUAACCAAAUAUUGCGUAAGGCUUUUACAAGGUUUGGCAUUCUCCUUAGGAAAGCAAACUUUUCCCAAUCUGGGGACAAAUCCCUUACAGUGUGAGUUUGCUAAUUCUUGGAUGGGCACCAUUAAGGUUUCUAUCUCUUAGUCAUUCAUCAUGGCAUGGUAUCACCUUGGGAUUUGGGACUCUUUUAGAGGACUCAUACCUCACGUAGGGUAUACAUUGGCCGAUUCUUAAUCUAAAAUCUGCAGAAAUUGGGCAGUCAAGUAGUGAACUGCAGAAUAUCUGCCUCGGGCAAGGGGUGGGUGCAGCCAGCUCUACCGACUAAAUGAGAAUUUCUUUACUUGGGACUGUGUCUAAGGGUGUGGACUUUCUCCAGGCUUGCCUGACACUGGAGGACCUCUCUAUAGAAAGUCAGAUGAGGCUUGAUACAAAUCAAUCUGGCUAGGACAUGCUGCUACAGUCUACUCUAGUUCCAUCCUCUAUUUCAGCUUGUUGCCUGUGGCAUACCAACAUCUGCAUGUACUGCAUCAAGUGUAGGACUAUCUGUCACCUAGAUAUCAUCAAAUUUCUAGAAGCUACUUAGUUAAUCCCUGUCACUAUAAAUGUAUCAGCCUUACUAUACAGAUAACAAUGACAACUGUUAUCUGUAUAGUAACUGUCACUGUUACUAUACUGUUAGUGUUGUCACUGUUACAUACAGUGAAAACACUACAACACUACUGUUAUAUACAGUGACAACUGUUAAGCCUUCUGCCAUGUCAAGGCAGGCUCCUCACAGGAGGGACAGUUACUAUGUACAUGAUUGCAUUUUCCUAUAAAAACUGCUCAUGCAGCAGUUCUUAUAAGAAGAAAAUAAGUUAUGACAAACUAAUUUUGAAGACGUAGAUGUGGCAGAAUAUAUUCAUUCAUAAAUUUAUAAUGAUAUAUGCUCUAUAUGGUAGUCAAACUAGAACAAUGUUUCAUUUUUAAUAGUGCCUAUUACACAAUUUCCAUGCAAUACUAAUUAUCUUUGAAUCUAAUUUAUUGACUGC